GAUCCUUUUAAUACUAGAGUAUUGACUGACAGACCCUCCAACAUACAUCCACAUAGACCAUUAAAAGCAGGUAUGUGUUUAUAUAACGUUAUAUGCUGUUGUAUCAGCCCUGGUUUUAUCCCUGCGAUAAUUAUAUUUCUAUUUAUUUUAGAAACAGCCGUAAAGAGUACAAAAACCUCAGCAGUUUCUAAUGCAUGUACAGGCAUUAGCCGCUUACCAACUGCAGAUCACGGUCGUAAGACAUACAGCGCGAAUGCCGGAGAACGCAGGGACUGCAACCCGCAUAAACUAAAACAGGGCAAGUAUACGUAUGAGUUUUUUGUUUAUUUGUAUAUUUGUAUACUACAUAAAUAUAGUAUGUUUAUUUGUAUCUUGUACCUGUAUGUACAUCGGUGUAUUAAUUUACUCAUUUAUUUUUGAAUACAGUACCAAAGUUGUCUAUAACCCGGAGCCGCUCUACAAGAGAUAUUCCAGUCACACGUGACGAUGAACAACCAUCAACGUCGACCUCAGGGGCUUUAAGGCAGCGACCAUCUAGUGCGACAUGCGUCGCAAAGGAGCCUCUACAAAUACAUUGAUUAACCACAACAAAACACACGUCUCGGGGUAAGCCAUCAGUCACAUCAACAGUCAAUGUAUCAGGGUGUCGACAUUUCACUGUAGCAUCAAAAGUACCUGUGAAACAAUCCAUUAGCCCUGCAAAUGUUCCUAUACAACCAAACCCUAAGAAAAGUAGAUCUGUUUUACAGGACAUAACACAAACCAUCUGCAAUGAUAACAAUAUACAUAGAGGGACUACAUCACUGACAUCCAGAAAUACCUCUGUAAAG
This is a non-coding RNA of Pelobates cultripes (western spadefoot toad), 830 nucleotides long. The record is from the annotation of a GenBank genome assembly. NCBI's taxonomy places the organism in Eukaryota, Metazoa, Chordata, Amphibia, Anura, Pelobatidae.